RNAcentral lists this ribosomal RNA (418 nucleotides) under Penicillium expansum. RNAcentral describes it as "eukaryotic LSU rRNA". The stretch from base 48 to 200 matches the Rfam family "5.8S ribosomal RNA". Lineage: Eukaryota; Fungi; Ascomycota; Eurotiomycetes; Eurotiales; Aspergillaceae. The record is from RNAcentral.
AACUCUGCCUGAAGAUUGUCGUCUGAGUGAAAAUAUAAAUUAUUUAAAACUUUCAACAACGGAUCUCUUGGUUCCGGCAUCGAUGAAGAACGCAGCGAAAUGCGAUACGUAAUGUGAAUUGCAAAUUCAGUGAAUCAUCGAGUCUUUGAACGCACAUUGCGCCCCCUGGUAUUCCGGGGGGCAUGCCUGUCCGAGCGUCAUUGCUGCCCUCAAGCCCGGCUUGUGUGUUGGGCCCCGUCCUCCGAUUCCGGGGGACGGGCCCGAAAGGCAGCGGCGGCACCGCGUCCGGUCCUCGAGCGUAUGGGGCUUUGUCACCCGCUCUGUAGGCCCGGCCGGCGCUUGCCGAUCAACCCAAAUUUUUAUCCAGGUUGACCUCGGAUCAGGUAGGGAUACCCGCUGAACUUAAGCAUAUCAAUAA